GACGAACGCUGGCGGCGUGCCUAAUACAUGCAAGUAGAACGCUGAAGGAGGAGCUUGCUUCUCUGGAUGAGUUGCGAACGGGUGAGUAACGCGUAGGUAACCUGCCUGGUAGCGGGGGAUAACUAUUGGAAACGAUAGCUAAUACCGCAUAAUAGUAGAUGUUGCAUGACAUUGGCUUAAAAGGUGCAAUUGCAUUACUACCAGAUGGACCUGCGUUGUAUUAGCUAGUGGGUGGGGUUACGGCUCACCAAGGCGACGAGACAUAUCCGACCUGGGAGGGGGGUCGGCCACACUGGGACUGGGACACGGCCCAUACUCCUGCGGGAGGCAGCAGUCGGGAAUCGUCGGCAAUGGACGGAAGUAUGACCGAGCAGGGCCGCGUGAGUGAAGGAGGUUUCCGGAUCGUGAAGCUCUGUUGUAGGUUGAGAACGGGUGUGAGCGUGGAAAGAUCACUCUGUGACGGUAUCUUACCAGAAAGGGACGGCUAACUACGUG
RNAcentral lists this ribosomal RNA (495 nucleotides) under uncultured bacterium. RNAcentral's name for it is "partial 16S ribosomal RNA". It matches the Rfam family "Bacterial small subunit ribosomal RNA", at positions 28 to 507 of the family's 1533-position model. The record is from RNAcentral.